RNAcentral lists this ribosomal RNA (530 nucleotides) under uncultured bacterium. RNAcentral describes it as "bacterial SSU rRNA". It matches the Rfam family "Bacterial small subunit ribosomal RNA", at positions 388 to 909 of the family's 1533-position model. The record is from RNAcentral.
UCAGCCAUGCCGCGUGUGUGAAGAAGGCCUUUUGGUUGUAAAGCACUUUAAGCGAGGAGGAGGCUACCUAGAUUAAUACUCUGGGAUAGUGGACGUUACUCGCAGAAUAAGCACCGGCUAACUCUGUGCCAGCAGCCGCGGUAAUACAGAGGGUGCGAGCGUUAAUCGGAUUUACUGGGCGUAAAGCGUGCGUAGGCGGCUGAUUAAGUCGGAUGUGAAAUCCCUGAGCUUAACUUAGGAAUUGCAUUCGAUACUGGUCAGCUAGAGUAUGGGAGAGGAUGGUAGAAUUCCAGGUGUAGCGGUGAAAUGCGUAGAGAUCUGGAGGAAUACCGAUGGCGAAGGCAGCCAUCUGGCCUAAUACUGACGCUGAGGUACGAAAGCAUGGGGAGCAAACAGGAUUAGAUACCCUGGUAGUCCAUGCCGUAAACGAUGUCUACUAGCCGUUGGGGUCUUUGAGGCUUUAGUGGCGCAGCUAACGCGAUAAGUAGACCGCCUGGGGAGUACGGUCGCAAGACUAAAACUCAAAUGAA